UACGAAGGGGGCUAGCGUUGUUCGGAAUUACUGGGCGUAAAGCGCGCGCAGGCGGUUUUCCAAGUCAGUGGUGAAAGCCCGGAGCUCAACUCCGGAACUGCCAUUGAAACUGUUUAGCUUGAGGACGAGAGAGGUGAGUGGAAUUCCCAGUGUAGAGGUGAAAUUCGUAGAUAUUCGGAAGAACACCAGUGGCGAAGGCGACUCGCUGGACAAGUAUUGACGCUGAGGUGCGAAAGCGUGGGGAGCAAACAGG
This 253-nucleotide ribosomal RNA is filed under the name uncultured bacterium. Its description in RNAcentral is "partial 16S ribosomal RNA". It matches the Rfam family "Bacterial small subunit ribosomal RNA", at positions 524 to 776 of the family's 1533-position model. The record is from RNAcentral.